CACUUCACCAUGAAUUUAAUAAUUGGACUGUUCAAUGAUAUGCAAUUUGCUUAUUUCACUGGCUGUUAUUUCUUCUUGCAAUUAUCUUCUCUUUCUAAUGUGCCACCUAUCAUGUCUUGAAACUAUUAAUUACUCAAACUUAUAAUUACAAUAAACCCUCUUUUAAAGUGACACUGCAUAGUAAGAGUUGGUGUUGAUACAAUAGAGAAAGUGCAUCUAAAAUUGCAUGCCUGGUAAAAGCCUAAGCAUAAAAGCUGCCCACGCUGUCUACAGCUUCUUGAUGAGAGCAUCGUUUACCUUUGUUUGUCAAAUUAUUUUGGAUGCUUUCUUUGGUUUUACCCCUCAGUAGGUGUACAGGAAGUUGUGGCUCUGGGAAGAACUGGGAGAUGGAUAGGUUUUGAAGAUAUGUAUGAAUAAGACAAAGGAACUGUUAGAAGAGGAUAACAAAGAAUCAAACUGCAGAAGAAAUGUUGGAGGAGCUCAUUUUCCAGUAAGGAGAAAUAGAGAGAGAGAGAGAGAGAGAGAGAGAGAGCGAGCGAGCGAGCGAGCGAGCACAAGAGAUUAUAAGAAAAGAAUGAGGUAAAAGAACCUGUAGAUAACAGGCAACACUGCAACAGUCACAUAAACAAUUUCAUGAUGAUUAAUCAAGACACGUGCAACAGUUGGGUAUCUUUAUUGUUGAAAUGUUUUGCUUACACAGUAAGCUUCAUCAGUUGAGUACAGAAGCAGCAGGUGAAGUAGUGAAAUGAGGAUGAUGUAAUCAGUCCAUCAAGCUUGGAGAAAUAGCAUUUGAUGUCAGUCCCUCAGCCUGGAAAAGAGUUCAUUUCCAUGGUCUUGAAUGAUAUGAAGCUUAAACAUUCUCAUGCUUCAGCUUCAUAUUCCAGAUCAUGGAGCAAGAUUCUUCUAGAAGGUUGAUUGACUGAUUACAUCUUCAUUUCACAUCAACCUGUCAGUAUUUUAUACAAUUUCAACAAAACAGUUCCAUGUUAUUGGUAAAGUUACUUUAUUUUUUUUUUUUUUUACUUCUAGAAGAACUGUUCUGCAGUAGUCUACAGCAGUUGAUCAUGCCUUAUCAAUUGUAUAAAGUAUUGCCAGGGAAAACAAGCCAGAGAUGCAUUACAGAAUACAUGAACACUUCAAAAUAACCAUUAAUUACUGACAACUCUGCAUGUAUAUCAACAAGAACCAUAGCCAUCUUAACACAUCAACCCUCUCCACACUUUCAUGUUAAGAAGCAGUAAUAACUAGAAUAUAAGGUAAGAUAAACUGUAGUACAGUAAUUUAUACAACUGUAGUAGAAUAUUUAAAAAGUUUGUCAAAUUUGGAGGUUUCUGGAAAAUAACCCUAUUUUUCCCAUAUGUUCUUUACAUACUGCUAAUUUGAUAGGUACGUAUAAGGAAACAUGCACAACUAAUGUAGCAUAUUACUGUGGCAAUGUUUUGCUCUCCAGGAACUUUGUCAAGCUGCUUGACAAAGCAAAAUGUUGCCACAAUAGAAUGCUGGUUGCAUGUGUCUUUUCACCUAUCAUUGUUGGUAAUUUUUACCCUUGUUACCCCUUACUGGUCAUUUCCCUAAAGUGCCAAUUUUCUGUAAUGCAUCUCCCAGUAUUAUGAGAGGGUUUAUUGUACUAACCAUUUGAUUUAUAUCUAUUUGCUACACAAGGUAAUAAAAUAUAUAUAAUGUGUUUAUAGUAUAUAUAUAUUGUGCUUUUUAGCCAGAAUGUGCAGACUUGGCUUAUUAUGUAAGAUUUGUUUUGCCAAACUGCGUUAAUUUUUUGUUACAGUAAAUGCAAAAAAAUCGAUAUGAGCAUCACAAAAUUAAUAUACUGUAUUUUGUUUUUGUUAAAUUUAGGCCAAGCUAAGAUAGGUUUGUUAGGAUUAGCUUAAAUUAUAUUAUGUAUAUUAAUUUCAGUAAGAUUAGGUGAGGUUGCUAAUCAGUUUUAACAAAACCUAAAACAAAAAUUUAUACUGUUAAUUUACAGAAAUAUAUAUACACAGUAUUGUACACUGUAUAAAUAAAGGCAUAGCAUAAUUUCUUUUUAAGAGUAUAUUUAGAGCAGUUUGGCUUGUUUGACUAAACAAUAUGACUUACUGUACAUAUGUGCAUACUUAUGUGUAUACAUCUUUAAAUAAUGUAUCAUUCAAAUAAAAUCUUUGCUUGUA
Non-coding RNA from Cherax quadricarinatus, 2162 nucleotides. Lineage: Eukaryota; Metazoa; Arthropoda; Malacostraca; Decapoda; Parastacidae. The record is from RefSeq and is a predicted model, not a curated record.